RNAcentral lists this ribosomal RNA (253 nucleotides) under uncultured bacterium. RNAcentral describes it as "partial 16S ribosomal RNA". It matches the Rfam family "Bacterial small subunit ribosomal RNA", at positions 524 to 776 of the family's 1533-position model. The record is from RNAcentral.
UACGAAGGGGGCUAGCGUUGCUCGGAAUCACUGGGCGUAAAGCGCACGUAGGCGGCUUCUUAAGUCAGGGGUGAAAUCCUGGAGCUCAACUCCAGAACUGCCUUUGAUACUGAGGAGCUUGAGUCCGGGAGAGGUGAGUGGAACUGCGAGUGUAGAGGUGAAAUUCGUAGAUAUUCGGAAGAACACCAGUGGCGAAGGCGGCUCACUGGACUGGUAUUGACGCUGAGGUGCGAAAGCGUGGGGAGCAAACAGG